AGGACGAACGCUGGCGGCAGGCCUCAAACAUGCAAGUCUAGGGGGUGUAGCAAUACAUCACCGGCGGACGGGUGCGUAACACGUGGGAAUAUACCUUUUGGUUCGGAACAACUGAGGGAAACUUCAGCUAAUACCGAAUGUGUCCUUGCGGAGAAAGAUUUAUCGCCAAAGGAUUAGCCCGCGUUCGAUUAGCUAGUUGGUAGGGUAACGGCCUACCAAGGCGACGAUCGAUAGCUGUUCUGAGAGGAAGAUCAGCCACACUGGGACUGAGACACGGCCCAGACUCCUACGGGAGGCAGCAGUAGGGAAUCUUCCGCAAUGGACGAAAGUCUGACGGAGCAACGCCGCGUGAGUGAUGAAGGUUUUCGGAUCGUAAAGCUCUGUUGCCAGGGAAGAACGCUUGGGAUAGUAACUGCUCCCAGGUGACGGUACCUGAGAAGAACGCCCGGCUAACUACGUGCCAGCAGCCGC
This 471-nucleotide ribosomal RNA is filed under the name uncultured bacterium. RNAcentral describes it as "SSU rRNA". It matches the Rfam family "Bacterial small subunit ribosomal RNA", at positions 26 to 518 of the family's 1533-position model. The record is from RNAcentral.